This 449-nucleotide ribosomal RNA is filed under the name uncultured bacterium. RNAcentral's name for it is "partial 16S ribosomal RNA". It matches the Rfam family "Bacterial small subunit ribosomal RNA", at positions 29 to 523 of the family's 1533-position model. The record is from RNAcentral.
AACGAACGCUGGCGGCAGGCUUAACACAUGCAAGUCGAACGCAUCCUUCGGGGUGAGUGGCAGACGGGUGAGUAACGCGUGGGAACGUGCCCUUCAGUUCGGGAUAACCCAGGGAAACUUGGGCUAAUACCGGAUACGUGCGAGAGCAGAAAGAUUUAUCGCUGACGGAUCGGCCCGCGUCUGAUUAGCCAGUUGGUGGGGUAAUGGCCCACCAAGGCGACGAUCAGUAGCUGGUCUGAGAGGAUGAUCAGCCACAUUGGGACUGAGACACGGCCCAAACUCCUAAGGGAGGCAGCAGUGGGGAAUAUUGGACAAGGGGCGCAAGCCUGAUCCAGCCAUGCCGCGUGAGUGAUGAAGGCCUUAGGGUUGUAAAGCUCUUUCGUCCGGGACGAUAAUGACGGUACCGGAAGAAGAAGCCCCGGCUAACUUCGUGCCAGCCGCCGCGGUAA